RNAcentral lists this ribosomal RNA (253 nucleotides) under uncultured bacterium. Its description in RNAcentral is "partial 16S ribosomal RNA". It matches the Rfam family "Bacterial small subunit ribosomal RNA", at positions 524 to 776 of the family's 1533-position model. The record is from RNAcentral.
UACGGAGGGUGCGAACGUUAAUCGGAAUCACUGGGCGUAAAGCGCGCGUAGGCGGUCCGUUAAGUGGGAUGUGAAAUCCCCGGGCUCAACCUGGGAAUUGCAUUUCAAACUGGCGGACUAGAGUGCGGUAGAGGGAGGUAGAAUUUCCUGUGUAGCGGUGAAAUGCGUAGAUAUAGGAAGGAAUACCAGUGGCGAAGGCGGCCUCCUGGAUCGACACUGACGCUGAGGCGCGAAAGCGUGGGGAGCAAACAGG